This is an RNA transcript of Pan troglodytes (chimpanzee), 3022 nucleotides long. It is a transcript of the gene named inner membrane mitochondrial protein, with no coding region annotated. NCBI's taxonomy places the organism in Eukaryota, Metazoa, Chordata, Mammalia, Primates, Hominidae. The record is from RefSeq and is a predicted model, not a curated record. The transcript has 14 exons.
GUUGCUUUAAUUCUCUUUAAGAGUCACAGCUGUCCAUUUUCCACGUGCGGCUGAAGAAUGGAUUUCAGAGCGCUCUCCCUCCGGCCGUGUUCACCUAGUAACCCCAGCUUCGGGAUAAGGACCUGCAGCCCGGGCACGACCCGGAAAGGGAAUCCGCCCUUUUCGCCUCCUUCGCGCCAAUCGCCUGGAGUUGGCGUUUCCGCAGCCGGGACACAGCCCACCCUCUAACAGCCGCGGAGUCGGGGACGGUAGAAGGGGCCGCGCGUGCGCAGUGGCGUCCGCUGUGCUUCCGGUGCGCCGGGCGCGGACGCGGGCACGCACACACGGGCACGCACACACGCAAGCACGCCUCCACUUAACUGGCGCCGCCGCGGCAGCUCGAGUCCACCAGCAGCGCCGUCCGCUUGACCGAGAUGCUGCGGGCCUGUCAGUUAUCGGGUGUGACCGCCGCCGCCCAGAGUUGUCUCUGUGGGAAGUUUGUCCUCCGUCCAUUGCGACCAUGCCGCAGAUACUCUACUUCAGGCAGCUCUGGGUUGACUACUGGCAAAAUUGCUGGAGCUGGCCUUUUGUUUGUUGGUGGAGGUAUUGGUGGCACUAUCCUAUAUGCCAAAUGGGAUUCCCAUUUCCGGGAAAGUGUAGAGAAAACCAUACCUUACUCAGACAAACUCUUCGAGAUGGUUCUUGGUCCUGCAGCUUAUAAUGUUCCAUUGCCAAAGAAAUCGAUUCAGUCGGGUCCACUAAAAAUCUCUAGUGUAUCAGAAGUAAUGAAAGAAUCUAAACAGCCUGCCUCACAACUCCAAAAACAAAAGGGAGAUACUCCAGCUUCAGCAACAGCACCUACAGAAGCGGCUCAAAUUAUUUCUGCAGCAGGUGAUACCCUGUCGGUCCCAGCCCCUGCAGUUCAGCCUGAGGAAUCUUUAAAAACUGAUCACCCUGAAAUUGGUGAAGGAAAACCCACACCUGCGCUUUCAGAAGAAGCAUCCUCAUCUUCUAUAAGGGAGCGACCACCUGAAGAAGUUGCAGCUCGCCUUGCACAACAGGAAAAACAAGAACAAGUUAAAAUUGAGUCUCUAGCCAAGAGCUUAGAAGAUGCUCUGAGGCAAACUGCAAGUGUCACUCUGCAGGCUAUUGCAGCUCAGAAUGCUGCGGUCCAGGCUGUCAAUGCACACUCCAACAUAUUGAAAGCCGCCAUGGACAAUUCUGAGAUUGCAGGCGAGAAGAAAUCUGCUCAGUGGCGCACAGUGGAGGGUGCAUUGAAGGAACGCAGAAAGGCAGUAGAUGAAGCUGCCGAUGCCCUUCUCAAAGCCAAAGAAGAGUUAGAGAAGAUGAAAAGUGUGAUUGAAAAUGCAAAGAAAAAAGAGGUUGCUGGGGCCAAGCCUCAUAUAACUGCUGCAGAGGGUAAACUUCACAACAUGAUAGUUGAUCUGGAUAAUGUGGUCAAAAAGGUCCAAGCAGCUCAGUCUGAGGCUAAGGUUGUAUCUCAGUAUCAUGAGCUGGUGGUCCAAGCUCGGGAUGACUUUAAACGAGAGCUGGACAGUAUUACUCCAGAAGUCCUUCCUGGGUGGAAAGGAAUGAGUGAGUACAACUGAACUGACAAGCUCUCUACUGAUGAUCUGAACUCCCUCAUUGCUCAUGCACAUCGUCGUAUUGAUCAGCUGAACAGAGAGCUGGCAGAACAGAAGGCCACCGAAAAGCAGCACAUCACGUUAGCCUUGGAGAAACAAAAGCUGGAAGAAAAGCGGGCAUUUGACUCUGCAGUAGCAAAAGCAUUAGAACAUCACAGAAGUGAAAUACAGGCUGAACAGGACAGAAAGAUAGAAGAAGUCAGAGAUGCCAUGGAAAAUGAAAUGAGAACCCAGCUUCGCCGACAGGCAGCUGCCCACACUGAUCACUUGCGAGAUGUCCUUAGGGUACAAGAACAGGAAUUGAAGUCUGAAUUUGAGCAGAACCUGUCUGAGAAACUCUCUGAACAAGAAUUACAAUUUCGUCGUCUCAGUCAAGAGCAAGUUGACAACUUUACUCUGGAUAUAAAUACUGCCUAUGCCAGACUCAGAGGAAUCGAACAGGCUGUUCAGAGCCAUGCAGUUGCUGAAGAGGAAGCCAGAAAAGCCCACCAACUCUGGCUUUCAGUGGAGGCAUUAAAGUACAGCAUGAAGACCUCAUCUGCAGAAACACCUACUAUCCCGCUGGGUAGUGCAGUUGAGGCCAUCAAAGCCAACUGUUCUGAUAAUGAAUUCACCCAAGCUUUAACCGCAGCUAUCCCUCCAGAGUCCCUGACCCGUGGGGUGUACAGUGAAGAGACCCUUAGAGCCCGUUUCUAUGCUGUUCAAAAACUGGCCCGAAGGGUAGCAAUGAUUGAUGAAACCAGAAAUAGCUUGUACCAGUACUUCCUCUCCUACCUACAGUCCCUGCUCCUAUUCCCACCUCAGCAACUGAAGCCGCCCCCGGAGCUCUGCCCUGAGGAUAUAAACACAUUUAAAUUACUGUCAUAUGCUUCCUAUUGCAUUGAGCAUGGUGAUCUGGAGCUAGCAGCAAAGUUUGUCAAUCAGCUGAAGGGGGAAUCCAGACGAGUGGCACAGGACUGGCUGAAGGAAGCCCGAAUGACCCUAGAAACGAAACAGAUAGUGGAAAUCCUGACAGCAUAUGCCAGCGCCGUAGGAAUAGGAACCACUCAGGUGCAGCCAGAGUGAGGUUUAGGAAGAUUUUCAUAAAGUCAUAUUUAAUGUCAAAGGAAAUCAGCAGUGAUAGAUGAAGGGUUCGCAGCGAGAGUCCCGGAAUUGUCUAGAAAUGAGCAGGUUUACAAGUACUGUUCUAAAUGUUAACACCUGUUGCAUUUAUAUUCUUUCCAUUUGCUAUCAUGUCAGUGAACUCCAGGAGUGCUUUCUUUGCAACUUGUGUAACAUUUUCUGUUUUUUCAGGUUUUACUGAUGAGGCUUGUGAGGCCAAUCAAAAUAAUGUUUGUGAUCUCUACUACUGUUGAUUUUGCCCUCGGAGCAAACUGAAUAAAGCAACAAGAUGAAAA